Molecule: non-coding RNA, 46 nt
Organism: Schistosoma curassoni
Lineage: Eukaryota; Metazoa; Platyhelminthes; Trematoda; Strigeidida; Schistosomatidae
Source: Rfam
AUCCAGCCGAUGAGUCCUAAAAUAGGACGAAACACGUGUCCUAGAU